This 492-nucleotide ribosomal RNA is filed under the name uncultured bacterium. RNAcentral's name for it is "partial 16S ribosomal RNA". It matches the Rfam family "Bacterial small subunit ribosomal RNA", at positions 29 to 507 of the family's 1533-position model. The record is from RNAcentral.
AGUGAACGCUGGCGGUAGGCCUAACACAUGCAAGUCGAACGGCAGCACAGUAAGAGCUUGCUCUUACGGGUGGCGAGUGGCGGACGGGUGAGGAAUACAUCGGAAUCUACUUUUUCGUGGGGGAUAACGUAGGGAAACUUACGCUAAUACCGCAUACGACCUACGGGUGAAAGCAGGGGAUCUUCGGACCUUGCGCGAUUGAAUGAGCCGAUGUCGGAUUAGCUAGUUGGCGGGGUAAAGGCCCACCAAGGCGACGAUCCGUAGCUGGUCUGAGAGGAUGAUCAGCCACACUGGAACGGAGACACGGUCCAGACUCCUACGGGAGGCAGCAGUGGGGAAUAUUGGACAAUGGGCGCAAGCCUGAUCCAGCCAUACCGCGUGGGUGAAGAAGGCCUUCGGGUUGUAAAGCCAUUUUGUUGGGAAAGAAAAGCAGCAGGUUAAUACCCCGCUGUUCUGACGGUACCCAAAGAAUAAGCACCGGCUAACUUCGUG